Molecule: ribosomal RNA, 255 nt
Filed under: Triticum aestivum (bread wheat)
Lineage: Eukaryota; Viridiplantae; Streptophyta; Magnoliopsida; Poales; Poaceae
Description: partial small subunit ribosomal RNA
Source: RNAcentral
AUGUCUAGCUCAACUUCGGCCUCCUGCCAAUCAUGGCCGCACUACGGUCCAGUGCCGUUGACAAGAUGCCCCAAUUGCCCGCGCAUUGAGUCUCUGAAGCGUUUGGCUUGUGUGAAGGAGGAAAAUGGCAACCGUGGGCCCGAGUUCGUCAAAUGCUUGAGCAAGCCACAACCGGGGCAGGUUCUGAAGAAAUAUGGACAUUUCGAGUGGCUUGAUGAGUACGUUGAGAUGAUGAAACUGGAGGCUUCAACAUAG